Molecule: unclassified non-coding RNA, 253 nt
Filed under: uncultured Terriglobia bacterium
Lineage: Bacteria; Pseudomonadati; Acidobacteriota; Terriglobia
Description: uncultured Acidobacteriia bacterium contains 16S-23S intergenic spacer region
Rfam family: Bacterial small subunit ribosomal RNA
Source: RNAcentral
GACGUAGGGGGCCAGCGUUGCUCGGAAUUACUGGGUGUAAAGGGUUCGUAGGCGGUGUGGCAAGUCGGGAGUGAAAUCUUUGGGCUCAACUCAAAGGCUGCUUCCGAAACUGCCGCGCUAGAGUGUGGGAGAGGCGCGUGGAAUUGCAGGUGUAGCGGUGAAAUGCGUAGAUAUCGGGAGGAACACCUGUGGCGAAAGCGGCGCACUGGACCACAACUGACGCUGAGGCGCGAAAGCUAGGGGAGCAAACAGG